GACGAAUGCUGGCGGCGUGCCUAAUACAUGCAAGUCGAGCGAGCUUGCCUAGAUGAAUUUGGUGCUUGCACCAGAUGAAACUAGAUACAAGCGAGCGGCGGACGGGUGAGUAACACGUGGGUAACCUGCCCAAGAGACUGGGAUAACACCUGGAAACAGAUGCUAAUACCGGAUAACAACACUAGACGCAUGUCUAGAGUUUAAAAGAUGGUUCUGCUAUCACUCUUGGAUGGACCUGCGGUGCAUUAGCUAGUUGGUAAGGUAACGGCUUACCAAGGCAAUGAUGCAUAGCCGAGUUGAGAGACUGAUCGGCCACAUUGGGACUGAGACACGGCCCAAACUCCUACGGGAGGCAGCAGUAGGGAAUCUUCCACAAUGGACGCAAGUCUGAUGGAGCAACGCCGCGUGAGUGAAGAAGGGUUUCGGCUCGUAAAGCUCUGUUGGUAGUGAAGAAAGAUAGAGGUAGUAACUGGCCUUUAUUUGACGGUAAUUACUUAGAAAGUCACGGCUAACUACGUGCCAGCAGCCGCGGUAAUACGUAGGUGGCAAGCGUUGUCCGGAUUUAUUGGGCGUAAAGCGAGUGCAGGCGGUUCAAUAAGUCUGAUGUGAAAGCCUUCGGCUCAACCGGAGAAUUGCAUCAGAAACUGUUGAACUUGAGUGCAGAAGAGGAGAGUGGAACUCCAUGUGUAGCGGUGGAAUGCGUAGAUAUAUGGAAGAACACCAGUGGCGAAGGCGGCUCUCUGGUCUGCAACUGACGCUGAGGCUCGAAAGCAUGGGUAGCGAACAGG
RNAcentral lists this ribosomal RNA (788 nucleotides) under uncultured Lactobacillus sp. Its description in RNAcentral is "bacterial SSU rRNA". It matches the Rfam family "Bacterial small subunit ribosomal RNA", at positions 28 to 776 of the family's 1533-position model. Lineage: Bacteria; Bacillati; Bacillota; Bacilli; Lactobacillales; Lactobacillaceae. The record is from RNAcentral.